Molecule: ribosomal RNA, 321 nt
Filed under: uncultured Imbricatea
Lineage: Eukaryota; Cercozoa; Imbricatea
Description: SSU rRNA
Rfam family: Eukaryotic small subunit ribosomal RNA (bases 109-321)
Source: RNAcentral
GAUUUCUGACUUGGUGCGUAUAGUCCGCUGACGUUAGUCAGUGUGUGCCGUGCGUACCGCGUCAUCCUUGUAGAGAUCUCACGUGCUCUUUAUUGGGACGCGUGGGCGAUCUACAUCUUUUACUUUGAAAAAAUUAGAGUGUUCAAAGCAGGCUUACGCUAUGAAUACAUUAGCAUGGAAUAAUAAUCUAGGACUUCUGUCCUAUUUUGUUGGUUUCUAGGAUGGAAGUAAUGAUUGAUAGGGAUAGUUGGGGGUGCUAGUAUUCAGCGGCCAGAGGUGAAAUUCUUGGAUUCGCUGAAGACUAACUUAUGCGAAAGCAUU